RNAcentral lists this ribosomal RNA (465 nucleotides) under uncultured bacterium. RNAcentral describes it as "partial 16S ribosomal RNA". It matches the Rfam family "Bacterial small subunit ribosomal RNA", at positions 338 to 795 of the family's 1533-position model. The record is from RNAcentral.
CCUACGGGAGACAGCAGUGGGGAAUUUUGGACAAUGGGCGCAAGCCUGAUCCAGCUAUUCCGCGUGUGGGAUGAAGGCCCUCGGGUUGUAAACCACUUUUGUAGAGAACGAAAAGACACCUUCGAAUAAAGGGUGUUGCUGACGGUACUCUACGUAUAAGCACCGGCUAAAUACGUGCCAGCAGCCGCGGUAAUACGUAGGGUGCGGGCGUUAAUCGGAAUUACUGGGCGGAAAGGGUGCGCAGGCGGUUGAGUAUGUCAGAUGUGAAAGCCCCGAGCUUAACUCGGGAAUGGCAUAUGUAACUGCUCGACUAGAGUGUGUCAGAGGGAGGUGGAAUUCCACGUGUAGCAGUGAAAUGCGUAGAUAUGUGGAAGAACACCGAUGGCGAAGGCAGCCUCCUGGGACAUAACUGACGCUCAGGCACGAAAGCGUGGGGAGCAAACAGGAUUAGAUACCCGGGUAGUC